AGAGUUUGAUCCUGGCUCAGAAUGAACGCUGGCGGCACGCCUAACACAUGCAAGUCGAGCGCGAAAACUUCUUCGGGAGUUAGUAGAGCGGCGGACGGGUGAGUAACACGUGAAUUAUCUACCCUACAGUUGAGAAUACCUUCGGGAAACCGAAGUUAAUACUGAAUACGUCCCUCCGGGGAGAAAGGUGACUUUAUGUUGCCGCUGAAGGAUGAGUUUGCGGUCUAUUAGCUAGUUGGUGGGGUAAAGGCCUACCAAGGCGAUGAUGGAUAGCCGGCCUGAGAGGGUGUACGGCCACAUUGGGACUGAGACACGGCCCAGACUCCUACGGGAGGCAGCAGUGGGGAAUAUUGCGCAAUGGGCGAAAGCCUGACGCAGCGAUGCCGCGUGGAGGAUGAAGGUUUUCGGAUCGUAAACUCCUGUUAAGUGGGAAGAAAGCUUUAUUCGUAAUAUGUUUAAAGUAUGACGGUACCACUAGAGAAAGCACCGGCUAACUUCGUGCCAGCAGCCGCGGUAAUA
RNAcentral lists this ribosomal RNA (519 nucleotides) under uncultured bacterium. Its description in RNAcentral is "bacterial SSU rRNA". It matches the Rfam family "Bacterial small subunit ribosomal RNA", at positions 8 to 525 of the family's 1533-position model. The record is from RNAcentral.